UACCUGCAGCUCGAGUGGUAACCGCUAUUAUUGGGCCUAAAGCGUCCGUAGCCGGUUUGGUAAAUAUCUGGGUAAAUCGUGAGGCUUAACUUCACGAAUUUCGGAUAGACUGCCAGACUUGGGAUCGGGGGAGGUCAGAGGUACUCCAGGGGUAGCGGUGAAAUGUUGUAAUCCUUGGAGGACCACCGGUAGCGAAGGCGUCUGACUAGAACGAGUCCGACGGUGAGGGACGAAGCCCUGGGGCGCAAACCGGAUUAGAUACCCGGGUAGUCCAGGGUGUAAACAAUGUGGGCUUUGUAUUGGAGGUCCCACGUGGGCGUCCAGUGCAGAAGAGAAGUUGUUAAGCCCACCGCCUGGGAAGUACGGUCGCAAGGCUGAAACUUAAAGGAAUUGGCGGGGAGCACAGCAACGGGAGGAGCGUGCGGUUU
Molecule: ribosomal RNA, 428 nt
Filed under: uncultured archaeon
Lineage: Archaea
Description: bacterial SSU rRNA
Rfam family: Archaeal small subunit ribosomal RNA
Source: RNAcentral